This is a non-coding RNA of Heterocephalus glaber (naked mole-rat), 446 nucleotides long. Lineage: Eukaryota; Metazoa; Chordata; Mammalia; Rodentia; Bathyergidae. The record is from RefSeq and is a predicted model, not a curated record.
CCCAGUGGCAGCAUGUCUACUGAGUCCUCAGCUGUGUCGUGAAAAUCAAAUACAUGAGACAGAGAGGUUAGAUAGGAAGUUGGGUAGAACGCGUACUUCUAGGAACUAUACAGGGACUCCUGAGCGCAACCAGCCGAAGACGAGUAAGGGUUGCUCUGAAAUAUUCCAUCUGCUCUAGAGAUUGAUACUCCUUACAGUGCGUGGCUCUGGAGUCAGACUGUCCAGUUGAGAUCACAGCUUCAUCACCGGCGGACAUAUGACCCUAGCAAGUUAAUUAAGCUUCCUACUGAAGUAAUAAAAACAGUUCCUGUUUUGAGGAUUAGAAGAGAUGAUCUCUUUAAGAUGCUUAGCACAGUGCCUGGCACACAUAGUAAAUGCUUGGUAAACUGUGAUGAUUCCAAUGACAAUCCUGGCAGAAUUAAGCUAAUAAAAUUAAAUAAACUUUC